Molecule: long non-coding RNA, 533 nt
Organism: Planococcus citri (citrus mealybug)
Lineage: Eukaryota; Metazoa; Arthropoda; Insecta; Hemiptera; Pseudococcidae
Exons: 3
Source: RefSeq, a predicted model, not a curated record
CACAUAAUUUUUGUUCACAAUUGUGAAUGAAAUCUUAUCGUUGACACGUAUAAAGUAAAAAUUUCAAAGUGCUUGAUCCAAAGUUGACAAUGAAAAAUUUCUUGACCUCAGUUUGUGUGUUCGUGUUGGUUUUUGGAGUUGAUUCCUUAAUUCGUGUGGAAAAUACACUACCAAAGCCGAACUCAUUUCCUGCGCUAAUACUAAGAAAAUUAAUACUUUUGCCCGAGCUGGCAAUUCCGUAUGAAGUAGUACAGAAAGAAGAUGUAAAACGGAAAGAAGUCGUUAAAAAGUUCAAGUUUGAAUUGUUUGACGUGAACAUUGAAGCCGUGAAUAAUUUCAGCAUUAUUUAUAUGUGUCCGAAAAACGAUACGUCGUUGAAAUUGAAGUUGAGCAAAACACCGGAAUGUGAAAGUGAACUUCGUGUGACAACUUUUAUCAAUGGUCAUCAUUGUGGCAGUAAAAAUAGAAAAAUAUACAGAAUUGGUUAUGGAAUGAAGAUAAAACGUACGAUAUUUCCAGUAUUUCCACCAGCA